RNAcentral lists this transfer RNA (55 nucleotides) under Philometroides sanguineus. RNAcentral's name for it is "tRNA-Cys". Lineage: Eukaryota; Metazoa; Nematoda; Chromadorea; Rhabditida; Philometridae. The record is from RNAcentral.
UUUUGUAGUAUUAAAUUUAGUACAACCUAAUGCAGGUAGGUAGGUUAUAAAGUUU